CCCGCACAAGAGCAACGGACUUUUAAUCCGUGGGUCGCGGGUUCGAAUCCUGCUGGGCCCA
Molecule: transfer RNA, 61 nt
Filed under: Candidatus Zixiibacteriota bacterium
Lineage: Bacteria; Pseudomonadati; Candidatus Zixiibacteriota
Description: candidate division Zixibacteria bacterium tRNA-Lys
Rfam family: tRNA
About the family: Transfer RNA (tRNA) molecules are approximately 80 nucleotides in length. Their secondary structure includes four short double-helical elements and three loops (D, anti-codon, and T loops).
Source: RNAcentral